UACAGGCCUAACACAUGCAAGUCGAGGGGUAGCGUGAGGGAAGCUGCUCCCUGACGACGACCGCGAAUGGGUGAGUCACGCGUGUCCAACCUGCCCCGUGCCCGGGGAUAGCCCUUGGAAAUGAGGAUUAAGACCCGAUAUGUGGCGCUUCCGCAUGGCGGCGCCAUGAAGCAGGCACGGGAUGGGGACGCGUCGGAUUAGCUUGACGGCGGGGCAACGGCCCACCGUGGCGACGAUCCGCAGGGGUUCUGAGAGGAAGGUCCCCCACACUGGCACUGAGACACGGGCCAGACUCCUACGGGAGGCAGCAGUGAGGAAUAUUGGUCAAUGGGCGGGAGCCUGAACCAGCCAAGUUAAGCGUGCAGGACGACGGCCCUACGGGUUGUAAACUGCUUUUCCGGGAGGAUAAAGUGAGCCACGCGUGGUUCAUUGCAGGUAUCCCGGGAAUAAGGACCGGCUAAUUCCGUGCCAGCAGCAGC
Molecule: ribosomal RNA, 479 nt
Filed under: uncultured bacterium
Lineage: Bacteria
Description: bacterial SSU rRNA
Rfam family: Bacterial small subunit ribosomal RNA
Source: RNAcentral